AACAGCGUUAUAUGCAACAGCAGCAGCAGCAGCAGCAGCAGCAGCAACAGCAACAGUUUGCAGCAUCUGGUGCUUUGAUGCCACAUGUCCAACCACAACCUCAGCUUCCACUAUCAUCUCCUCUGCAAAAUAGUUCUCAAAUUCAAGCACAACCUUCCUCUCAGCCACUAUCAAUGGCGCCACUUUCAGCAUCUUCCCCAGUGACACCCAUGGCAUUGCAGCAUCAGCAGAAACAUCAGCUGCCACAUCACGG
Molecule: long non-coding RNA, 253 nt
Filed under: Carica papaya (papaya)
Lineage: Eukaryota; Viridiplantae; Streptophyta; Magnoliopsida; Brassicales; Caricaceae
Description: long non-coding RNA (CPAP_LNC012119)
Source: RNAcentral